UAUGAUUCAUUGCUAUGCUAAUGAAAUCACACUGAGGCUAUAGCAGAUGUAGUUUUACUCUCAUGUACAAGAUUCCUGUUUCAAGAAUAUCCCAUUGUGCCAAGUGGCUAAUUGAUUACAAUACUAGUGAUGAAUGCAGCAUGUUUUAGCUCCACUCCCAUCAUUUCGGCUGUUAUUUUGCCAUAUUUAUGGGUUUUUUGAAAUAUGUAGAACAGAAAUAUCUGCAUAGUUAGCUGUCUGCUAUCUAUCCUCAAAUCACAUGGCAGAAUCAAAAUCUAAUGUUGGCAUCCCUCUGGCCCUGGUCAAAAUUUGCUGCGGGCCUCCAUCACAUCUACUUCAAAGAAUUCUCAUAGCAAAUUAUCAGAUCGCUUCUUCCUAUUUGCUUAUCCUUUUUCCAAUAUUGGAGAAAUGAGAUACAGCACUUUGCAACAGUCGAAAUAGGUUACUAAUGGUACUGCAUGUUUUCCACCUAGAGAGUAUGGAAAUAAAAAUAAUCAGCAAUUAGUCCAUUGCCUAACUGCAAACCCAUGUAUCAACUGCUUCUCUUCUUCCAAGUCACAGGAAACAAGAAAAAGCAGAGAAUUGAAGGAAUGGAGCAAAAACACUCAACUGUCCUCUUAAGAUGGAGACCCAUCAGAGGUAUUCAGGAAUUGUGGCUUUCUCAGGAUGAACGAUUCUGUUAUUAUUUGGCCUGCUGAAGGAAACUUGACCUUGAAUUCUACCACCUUCUGAGGUUAUUCAAAUUAUAUCAAAAUCAGUGAUCUUUUUACCGAAAUGAUGUACAAAACAUUUGAGAAAUGAUUGCCUUCGCUGUUGACAAAUAAGAACUUUGGUAUCUGGCUCCUGAAAACCAAACCCUAUUGAUAUGCUAUUCAUACAAGUUCAAUUAUGUCUCUGAUGAAAACAAUUAUAGCUGGAAUUUAAGAGUACAGAUUAAAAGGUUUGGAGACUUGGUAAAAGUGAUUUCACAAAAUAUAAAAAGCAAAUGACUUUUUAAUUCUAUGAAUUCAUCAAUUUGUAAGUUAAUGGAAUUAAUGAAGCAAGAAAUGAAGUGGAAAUUCUAAAAGUUUUCUUUCUAUGCUCAGUCCUGGAAUAGGGUCUUACCACUGUUUAGAGCUAAAGGUAAUGAAUAGCUUCAUUUGAACACUAAUUCAAUUAUAUAAUACUCUUCUCCUUCUAUCUCCCCCACCCCUCAACAAAUCUGUGGCAAGUCCUUGACAGAUUUCUUUUUUCACCAGAAGAAAUAAGGGGACAUUUUGGCUCCACUCAAAGUGAAAUAAAAAGUUCUACUGAAAGCAAAGAACGCAAAGCCAAAGCCCAUCAGUUAUGCUAUUUCAACAGAGCUUAUGUAACAGUUAACCACAAUGGUUGGUACUGCUCUAAAUGUUUCUGUUGAACCUUCAGUGCUUCUCUUCCUGCCCCAUGCCCGACCUAUCCUUUGAAUAAAACUAUUAGUUCGUU
This is a long non-coding RNA of Pantherophis guttatus, 1461 nucleotides long. RefSeq lists it as uncharacterized. NCBI's taxonomy places the organism in Eukaryota, Metazoa, Chordata, Lepidosauria, Squamata, Colubridae. The record is from RefSeq and is a predicted model, not a curated record.